Molecule: ribosomal RNA, 253 nt
Filed under: uncultured bacterium
Lineage: Bacteria
Description: partial 16S ribosomal RNA
Rfam family: Bacterial small subunit ribosomal RNA
Source: RNAcentral
UACGAAGGGUGCAAGCGUUACUCGGAAUUACUGGGCGUAAAGCGUGCGUAGGCGGUUUGUUAAGUCUGUCGUGAAAGCCCCGGGCUCAACCUGGGAAUGGCGAUGGAUACUGGCGAGCUAGAGUACGGUAGAGGAGAGUGGAAUUCCCGGUGUAGCAGUGAAAUGCGUAGAGAUCGGGAGGAACAUCAGUUGCGAAGGCGGCUCUCUGGACCAGUACUGACGCUGAGGCACGAAAGCCAGGGGAGCGAACGGG